GAUGAAGAACGCAGCGAAGUGCGAUAAGUAAUGUGAAUUGCAGAAUUCCGUGAAUCAUCGAAUCUUUGAACGCAAAUUGCACUUUCUGGUAUUCCGGAGAGUAUGCCUGUUUGAGGGUCAGUGUAAUAAAUAAAUCGUGGUUGUUACCACCUUUCGUGGUGACGCUUCGGAAUUGAGUCGUCUUUACCCUUCGGGUUAAGUGACUUAAAAUUUUUUCAUACGAUUUCGAAACGUAUUUAAUGUAUUAUGUACGUUCACGAAUAUCGAAUGUUUUAUUAGGUGCGGUCAUUUUUCAUGAAUUCGCGUCUAUAAUUUUUUUUUUUUGACCUCAAAUCAGGUAAGAAUACCCGCUGAACUUAAGCAUAUCAAUAAGCGGAGGA
RNAcentral lists this unclassified non-coding RNA (380 nucleotides) under soil metagenome. Its description in RNAcentral is "partial contains 5.8S ribosomal RNA, internal transcribed spacer 2, and large subunit ribosomal RNA". The stretch from base 1 to 120 matches the Rfam family "5.8S ribosomal RNA", at positions 35 to 154 of the family's 154-position model. The record is from RNAcentral.